CCUACGGGAGGCAGCAGUGAGGAAUAUUGGUCAAUGGGCGGGAGCCUGAACCAGCCAAGCCGCGUGAGGGAAGAAGGUACUGCGUAUCGUAAACUUCUUUUGUCAGGGAGCAAAGGCGGAGACUAGUACCCGGAUGAGGGUACCUGAAGAAAAAGCAUCGGCUAACUCCGUGCCAGCAGCCGCGGUAAUACGGAGGAUGCGAGCGUUAUCCGGAUUUAUUGGGGUUAAAGGGUGCGUAGGCGGCCGGUUAAGUCAGCGGUGAAAUCCCGGGGCUCAACGUCGGAGUGGCCUGUGAAACGGGCCGGCUGGAGUGGGGGAGAGGUACGCGGAAUGCACGGUGUAGCGGUGAAAUGCUUAGAUAUCGUGCAGAACCCCGAUUGCGAAGGCAGCGUACCGGCUCAACACUGACGCUGAGGCACGAAAGCGUGGGUAGCGAACAGGAUUAGAUACCCCUGUAGUC
Molecule: ribosomal RNA, 460 nt
Filed under: uncultured bacterium
Lineage: Bacteria
Description: partial 16S ribosomal RNA
Rfam family: Bacterial small subunit ribosomal RNA
Source: RNAcentral